Molecule: ribosomal RNA, 250 nt
Filed under: uncultured bacterium
Lineage: Bacteria
Description: partial small subunit ribosomal RNA
Rfam family: Bacterial small subunit ribosomal RNA
Source: RNAcentral
GGAAUCAACGCUGGCGGCGUGCCUAACACAUGCAAGUCGCACGAGAAAGGGGAGCAAUCCAUGAGUAAAGUGGCGCACGGGUGAGUAACACGUGACUAACCUACCCUUGAGUGGGGGAUAACCUAGGGAAACCUGGGCUAAUACCGCAUAAUACCUUCGGGUCAAAGGAGCAAUUCGCUUAAGGGAGGGGGUCGCGGCCGAUUAGUUAGUUGGCGGGGUAAUGGCCCACCAAGGACUGUGAUCGGUAUCC